This 334-nucleotide long non-coding RNA is filed under the name Mytilus galloprovincialis (Mediterranean mussel). Lineage: Eukaryota; Metazoa; Mollusca; Bivalvia; Mytilida; Mytilidae. The record is from RNAcentral.
GGACCUUCUAGAGCCUCAAUCUUAACGCACACAAAUGUCAAUCAUUACAAAGCAAGUUUAAACCUUGAAUGAAUUUUCCCACGGUUAUCCAGAAAGGUCACCUGAGUUUACUGUUACAUGAUACUAUUUCCCGCCAAAUAAAAAUCUCGUGGACAAAAUUGAUGUCACUAUUUUUAGCAUUCAAUAUUGUGAGCGAAGUCAAGUUCAAGUUCAACCACGCACUGUUGAUCACUGAGAUGCGUAUCGUCUUCCCACGGCAAUUAAUUGCUUUAAAAAUAUUUAAAGAUCACUGUUCUAAAUACAACACAAAAGUUUACAUUCAUUGUGCGUAAAU